RNAcentral lists this transfer RNA (92 nucleotides) under Actinomadura cremea. RNAcentral describes it as "tRNA-Leu". The record is from RNAcentral. Lineage: Bacteria; Bacillati; Actinomycetota; Actinomycetes; Streptosporangiales; Thermomonosporaceae.
GCGGCCGAGGGCGUCGGCGUUGCGAGCGAUGCGAAGAACAUCGAUGGUGCGGCCGUCCGCGCCGUGGACGUUCCGAACGUCCCGGACAUCCC